This is a long non-coding RNA of Rhinopithecus roxellana (golden snub-nosed monkey), 672 nucleotides long. RefSeq lists it as uncharacterized. The record is from RefSeq and is a predicted model, not a curated record. NCBI's taxonomy places the organism in Eukaryota, Metazoa, Chordata, Mammalia, Primates, Cercopithecidae. The transcript is spliced from 3 exons.
UUCUGGCCAUUUUCCCCUGACAGCGGCUUCGGAGAUGGCUGUGACUGUCCUAAGCUGGGAGCUGCAAGGGAGAAUUCCUGUCAUUCCUGGCCUCAGCUCUGCAGGGACCGAGGGCGAGGCACGUCUGGGCCCAGGUGUGGCGUCUCUGUCCCCAUCUGGUUUUAGGCGUGUUACACCUCCACACGCAUUAGGGAUCCAGCUUUCCUGAAGACAUGAACCAUUUACCCCAAAAUAUGACCAACACAGACUCCUGCUUACAAUUUCCGUGGGCAGGUUGGCCACCUGUAGCUCAUCCCUAGCACUGAUCUAAGUCCCUCAAAUAGAGUUCAUGUGCAUCCCCACGACUGCCAUCACUUGUACCGUGAAGUACCUGGCUAAGUGUUGAGAUUGCAGAACUGGUGGAAGGCUGGGGGCAGGGACUUGGGGGAGUCCCUGACCAGAGGACCUCACUUGUCACACUCGUCUUCCAUGUUUAGGGCUGGGCUCCUUCAGGCAAGGGACAUGCAUGACAACUCAUGCAUGACCUCUAGGUAUUAAGAAUGCAGCAUCACAGGGAGAGGCUGUCUAGGGCAGGAUAGUCAUGUACAGGCAGUUGCCAGAGUGUAAAGGAAAAAAAAGUUUUUUUUUUUGUUUGUUUUUUAUUUUGUGGAAAACAAAAGCAGAAAAACUAAA